Polypterus senegalus (gray bichir) is the source of this 228-nucleotide long non-coding RNA. RefSeq lists it as uncharacterized. NCBI's taxonomy places the organism in Eukaryota, Metazoa, Chordata, Cladistia, Polypteriformes, Polypteridae. The transcript is spliced from 3 exons. The record is from RefSeq and is a predicted model, not a curated record.
AUGCCUUGAUCAGGUGCUGGUGGUGCAGAUUUCCAUCACAGAAGAAACCAGAAAAGACAACAGAGAGAAGCAGAAAAUAGUAAAGAUUAUCAUCAAAAGGAAGUCCCACCUGAAGACCUCACAUCUGGUCCUGGCUCUCCUGACAUCACUUCUGACCAAACACGAGAAAUCCUUCCUGUCCCGGCCCCGAGGUCGUCACUUCCUGGGAACCAGCUAUAAAAACCCCUC